Long non-coding RNA from Micropterus salmoides (largemouth bass), 1208 nucleotides. RefSeq lists it as uncharacterized. The record is from RefSeq and is a predicted model, not a curated record. Lineage: Eukaryota; Metazoa; Chordata; Actinopteri; Centrarchiformes; Centrarchidae. The transcript has 4 exons.
CAGAUAAAGCUUCAUCUUACUCCCUUGAAAGAGAUGAUGGACAGAAUGGUUUCAGCUCUGAUGAAGAGGAUCUUCCAUCGAUUUCUAUAUGGUGUGUUAUUUGUCAGUCUCAAUUUGCUAUUGUUUUGUGGUGUCUGUUUACUACAGAUUUUUGUGCCUCAAUAGAACGGGUGGAGCAGUGAAGAAAACAAACUCUAUCGAUGGACUUCCUUGCCUGCACAUGAAGACCCCCCUGAUGAGCCUUCUCCCUGUGAUCAUGACCCUGUUUUCCCAGAAUCACAGAAUGUCCUUUGUGAAAAGGACAUCAUAGGUGUCAGAGCCUCCAUAGUGUACGAGAACUGCUUAAGACAACUGGCUACAUUUCUGAUCCUGCCUGUGGAUAAAUGCAUGAACAUUUACACUUUACACACAGACUAUAGUUGAAUGCCUGUAUUUUACAGUAAAGGAGAGUCCAUCCUCUUCAACUGGCUUAAGGACAUUUUCGGUGGUGUUGCAAGACUGCCGACACACGGGCAGUUUCUUGCAUUAUGGGUUGGCAUCCUUCACUAUGUCUGCAACAUUCACACCUGGACUAUGGGUUGUUGUAAACACGGGCACCUUGAAUCGGAUCAAAUGCAGGGACAGAUGUGGAUCCAGAGAGACUCCCAGUGCCACAAAGCUUUAGUGGAUAUAGUUCUCAAUAAGAGGUGGCAGAAAGAUGUUCACAACUAUCUGCGAUUCAGAUCGACUGCAGACCUAGAGUCAUUCCAGAAUGGAGUCCUCUGGAGUGGGGAUGCCUAGAAGCAGGAGCCUUCUCCCAGAUGACCCCAGACAGCUUGGUUUGGUGCCCCCUGUACCUGCACCAGCCACAUUAGACUUGUUGAAGAGACAAGUCAGAAGAGGUCUAGGACCGUUCUUCCAACCAGCAUCUGAUGUGGAAGGAUCCCCACAGGAGAUCACCCUGCAUGUGUCCUGGUACUUGUCAGGCAGCAUCACAAGGGAAAGAACUUCAAUUCACUGACAAAGUCAUAGCUUUUACUCUUGAAAAACAAAAAUUUAUUAACAUUAAAUUUUGUUCCUACCCUCCUCCAGUGGUUAUUUCAUGUUUUUCCAUUUUGUACACGUUUCAUCUUAUUGUGCUAAGUACACUGUGAGCAGAGGAUAUUAUUUUCAGUAGGUAGCCUAAAUUACAGUUUACAAUUUGAACAGUAAUGAUAAGUAAGGCUACA